RNAcentral lists this ribosomal RNA (433 nucleotides) under uncultured bacterium. Its description in RNAcentral is "partial 16S ribosomal RNA". It matches the Rfam family "Bacterial small subunit ribosomal RNA", at positions 29 to 507 of the family's 1533-position model. The record is from RNAcentral.
AGCGAACGCUGGCGGCAGGCUUAACACAUGCAAGUCGAGCGGGCCCUUCGGGGUCAGCGGCAGACGGGUGAGUAACACGUGGGAACGUACCCUUUGGUUCGGAAUAACGCUGGGAAACUAGCGCUAAUACCGGAUACGCCCUUUUGGGGAAAGGCUUGCCGCCGAAGGAUCGGCCCGCGUCUGAUUAGCUAGUUGGUGGGGUAAUGGCCUACCAAGGCGACGAUCAGUAGCUGGUCUGAGAGGAUGAUCAGCCACACUGGGACUGAGACACGGCCCAGACUCCUACGGGAGGCAGCAGUGGGGAAUAUUGGACAAUGGGCGCAAGCCUGAUCCAGCCAUGCCGCGUGAGUGAUGAAGGCCUUAGGGUUGUAAAGCUCUUUUGUCCGGGACGAUAAUGACGGUACCGGAAGAAUAAGCCCCGGCUAACUUCGUG